GGAAGCGAGUUAUUUGAAGAUUAUAUUGGACAACUCGCUUUAGCAACUAUAGCAUCUGUAGAAAUUGAAGAAGAAUCGCAGGUCCCUGAAGUUCGGAGACAAAAGGUUCAAGAAAAAAUCAAGGAAUUGCAGAAAGAAAGGGAGAGGAAGCUUAUCCAAAACUUGAAAGAUCAUCUUCAUCCAUAUGUUGCAGGGCAAAAGGAUGAUUUUGUAAGUUGGGCAAACUCAGAAGCUCGCCGCCUUUCUCAAGCUGCCUUUGGGGA
Molecule: unclassified non-coding RNA, 263 nt
Filed under: Hevea brasiliensis (rubber tree)
Lineage: Eukaryota; Viridiplantae; Streptophyta; Magnoliopsida; Malpighiales; Euphorbiaceae
Source: RNAcentral